CAUCAAUCUUGGAUUUCAGAGAAAAACACAAAUCUAUUUUCUGACCUAUAUACACAGUAUAAAAUUACAAUGUCUUAUGAGAUCUGUGCUGUAGGAAGAGGCCUCCCUCAUUCAUUAUAUUUACGUUUGAUUUGCAACAAGAUUUCUACACAAGGAUGAAAUCCAGCCUUUCUGCAAAUACAUUUUAUAUAAUGUUUCUUUCCAGUGUGAAUGUUGUGACUUAUAAUGACCUUUAUCUUCUAGAUAAGGGCAAGCCUUCCUUCAACACAUUUGUAAGUCUUCUCUCUACUCAGUAUCCUCAGAUGCAAACUCAGAGAUGAACUUGGACUAAAGACCUUUCCAUUACAAGUCCAUAGGAGAUAUGUUCCCAAGCAGAAAAUCCCUGCUGAUUAAGAAGCUCUGUCCUAGCUUUAUCCAUGAUUUCAAUCUUUUAGGAAUUUUCUGGAGGCAAUUCAGGAAUGAAGUGAGCCUGAAUGUUUUUCCACUGGAUUAUAUGAAUGAAGUUUUACAUCUAGCAUAGCAUCUCCCAUGUCUAGUAGGGAUAAUAUCUACUAAAAACUUUUACCAUGAUCCAAACACUCAAAAGUUUUCCUCUAAUGUGCACUCUCAGUUAAGCAAGAUUUGAACUUUGUCUGAAGGUUUCCACAUUCAUGAGGGUUCUGUCUAAUGUGGAUUUUCUCAUGCUUACCAAGACUGUUGUGCCAUAGGAAAGCAUUUCCACAGUCAUUACCUCCAUAAGGCUUCUCUCAGUGUGGAUUCUGAUGAGAAGUAAGAUUGUUGCGCUGUGUGAAAGCCUUUCUACAUUCAUUACAUUAAUAAAGCUUUUCUCAGUGUAGAUUCUCUGAUGGACAGCAAGACUGUUGCGCUGUGUAAAUGCCUUUCCACAUUCAUUACAUUCAUAAGACUUCUCUCUAGUGUGCAUUCUCUGAUGGAAAGUAAGAUUGCUGCGCCGUGUGAAAGCCUUGCCACAUUUGUUACAUUCAUAAGGCUUCUCUCAGUUGUGGAUUCUCUGAUGUUUUCCAAGACCUGAACUGCAUCUCAAAUUCUUUCCACACUGAUUAAGUCCAUAGGAUUUUUCUUCAGUGUGGAUUCUCUGAUGUCUAGCAAGACUGAAGCAAUUUCUGAAAUUCUUUCCACACUGAUUACAUUCAUAAGGUUUUCCCCAGUGUGGAUUCUAUGAUGUCUAGCAAGAUUGGAGCAAUUCGUGAAAGUCUUUCCACAUUUAUUACAUUCAUAAGGCUUCUCUCAGUGUGCAUUCUCUGAUGUUCAUGAAGACUCUUUCUCCAUGUGAAAGUCUUUCCACAUUCAUUACAUUUAUAAAGCUUCUCUCCAGUGUGGAUUCUCUGAUGGAAAGUAAGAUUGCUGCGCCGUGUAGAAAGCCUUUCCACAGUCAUCACAUUCAUAAGGCUUUUCUCCAGUGUGGAUUCUCUGAUG
This 1434-nucleotide long non-coding RNA is filed under the name Sarcophilus harrisii (Tasmanian devil). RNAcentral's name for it is "lncRNA (ENSSHAG00000021108.1)". The record is from RNAcentral. Lineage: Eukaryota; Metazoa; Chordata; Mammalia; Dasyuromorphia; Dasyuridae.